RNAcentral lists this ribosomal RNA (493 nucleotides) under uncultured bacterium. RNAcentral's name for it is "partial 16S ribosomal RNA". It matches the Rfam family "Bacterial small subunit ribosomal RNA", at positions 29 to 523 of the family's 1533-position model. The record is from RNAcentral.
AUUGAACGCUGGCGGCAUGCUUUACACAUGCAAGUCGAACGGUAACAGGUUAAGCUGACGAGUGGCGAACGGGUGAGUAAUGCAUCGGAACGUGCCCGAUCGUGGGGGAUAACGCAGCGAAAGCUGCGCUAAUACCGCAUACGAUCUGAGGAUGAAAGCGGGGGACCGUAAGGCCUCGCGCGAUCGGAGCGGCCGAUGUCAGAUUAGGUAGUUGGUGGGGUAAAGGCCCACCAAGCCGACGAUCUGUAGCUGGUCUGAGAGGACGACCAGCCACACUGGGACUGGGACACGGCCCAGACUCCUACGGGAGGCAGCAGUGGGGAAUUGUGGACAAUGGGCGAAAGCCUGAUCCAGCAAUGCCGCGUGCAGGAAGAAGGCCUUCGGGUUGUAAACUGCUUUUGUACGGAACGAAACGGUCUGGGUUAAUACCUCGGGCUAAUGACGGUACCGUAAGAAUAAGCACCGGCUAACUACGUGCCAGCCGCCGCCGUAA